This 492-nucleotide ribosomal RNA is filed under the name uncultured bacterium. RNAcentral's name for it is "partial 16S ribosomal RNA". It matches the Rfam family "Bacterial small subunit ribosomal RNA", at positions 29 to 507 of the family's 1533-position model. The record is from RNAcentral.
AGUGAACGCUGGCGGUAGGCCUAACACAUGCAAGUCGAACGGCAGCACAGUAAGAGCUUGCUCUUACGGGUGGCGAGUGGCGGACGGGUGAGGAAUACAUCGGAAUCUACUUUUUCGUGGGGGAUAACGUAGGGAAACUUACGCUAAUACCGCAUACGACCUACGGGUGAAAGCAGGGGAUCUUCGGACCUUGCGCGAUUGAAUGAGCCGAUGUCGGAUUAGCUAGUUGGCGGGGUAAAGGCCCACCAAGGCGACGAUCCGUAGCUGGUCUGAGAGGAUGAUCAGCCACACUGGAACUGAGACACGGUCCAGACUCCUACGGGAGGCAGCAGUGGGGAAUAUUGGACAAUGGGCGCAGGCCUGAUCCAGCCGUACCGCGUGGGUGAAGAAGGCCUUCGGGUUGUAAAGCCCUUUUGUUGGGAAAGAAAAGCAGCAGGUUAAUACCCCGCUGUUCUGACGGUACCCAAAGAAUAAGCACCGGCUAACUUCGUG